Delphinapterus leucas (beluga whale) is the source of this 3782-nucleotide non-coding RNA. The record is from RefSeq and is a predicted model, not a curated record. Lineage: Eukaryota; Metazoa; Chordata; Mammalia; Artiodactyla; Monodontidae.
AGUGUCUUCUGGGCUUUGUUGCUUGCCCCUGCAUGGAUCUUUGGAGCAGCCAGCGGGACACCUUUCUCCACCGCACGUGUGUCAGUGUCUGUCUGUACCUGACCCAGAGGGCAGCGCCUCCAAGCAUACGAAUCCAGGGACAACUGCACUUUCAUUAUGAACAGCUGGAUCAUCAAGAGUCAACAGAACAAUCUGCAGUCCUUUAGGGAAGAUGACAAUGGCUGUGUCAGUGCUAUUUACUGCAUAAGAAUUAUGAAGCUUAAGUGGGGCUUUGUCAAUUCCGAUUGGAAUGUCGUGGUCUUCUCCUUCGCCAACUAUGAACCCCACAUCUCUGCAAUCAAACAUCCUUCCACCACAGCGGCCUUCCAGGUGGACUGAGGGAGAGGAGAAGGACAGUCAACAGAGCUGCUCUUCGUGACUAAUUCAGGAACCUGAUAAAUGAGUAGUUCCCCUUCCUCAUUUCAUCUAGAGACAUACGUGGUAUGUCUUGUUGAAGCUUAGUCUACCCAGUCUGGAAAUUUAAGAGCAAUCAUAUUUCUUUCUGUUUUAAGUUUAAACUUAUAAUUACUGAUAACUACAUCAGUAAGAUAGCUUAGAGGAUAAUGAAGUGGAAACACAGGUUUAACUUAAACCUACUAUAUGACAGAGGUUUCCUCACCUAUAACACAAAACAAGAAAUACUAGAUUAUUUAAUAGGUAAUUAUCAAAAUGCCACAAACUUAAUAUCAAGUAUACAAAGGCUUAAACAUUUAUAACUGCAUCUUGGCUUCGGAUGCUUGGGUUGAAAAACAACCGAAUGGCUAUUUCCCCAGUGAUAUUAAAGGGUUAACUGAAUAUAGAAGCUCUUUUUUUUUUUCUUUAAGAGUUUUAAUCUCAUUCACAAAUAUGUCUGAAUAAAAAUGAAAAGGCCAAAGGCAACAUCAUCAAUAACUAACAUAUCUGUAAUCCCUUAGUGCAGUAAAAAAUGUAAAAUGUGAAGGAAUCAAUAGUCUCCUAUAACUCGACAAAUCAAAUUACUCAACCCCCUCCUCUGAAAUGUUAAGUGAAGAGGUCAAUUUCUCAGGGCCUACUUCCUCAUUGCACUCAAACUCAGCUCAUUCCCAGGGUAAUUUCACAUUAGAUAAGGGGCUUUUAUGUUCAUAUAAAAUAGGAAAACACAUACAGAUAUAUAUUUUUCUCUUGGUUAGUUAGACUUUUUCUUCUGGGAUAAACAAUUCUUUGAAACUUUCCAACUAUGUUUAAUAUUACGGAUAUUCAUUCCUUUCCAUUUAGGUCUUUCAUUCAAUCAGAAAAAUGGAUGGCUUGUAUGACAGCACAACAGUCGACAAGCAAUGUAAUAAUUUGCCUUUCAUAAGAAAAUUUUUUAUUCCUACUUCUGUAAUAUAAUGGCCUUGAUUCAAAUGUAAGGAAUUCCUAAAAUGCUUCUUUUCUGAGACUGGUUGAUCUAUUUUAGAUCAAUAACUUGCUUUAGAGAUAAAAAUCACUUGUUCUGUUACAUUCGUUCCAGGAGACAAUUAUUUUCCAAAUACAAAUUCAAUUCCAACUUACUCUACUUUUGAACUACUUGAUCUCAAAGGUCCUUUGAAGCUCUAAAAUUCUACGAUUCUAUGGCCCAGUAAUAUAACUCUCAAUGUAGACCAGAAACCAGCUUCAAAGCUAAUUCCUGUAGUUAAUCAUUUCAUCAGGUUACCUUUAGCCCAGGCCUAGGAAAUGAGAGAAACCCUGAAGAGUAAACAGCAGUGGCAUAGACACUAGGGGCAGAAAAGUCACAUGGACAUUUAUGCUUUGAAGUUCUCUACCGUUUUCUAAGUCACUAGGAUUAAUACCAUCCCGAUUUGUUCCCGUUGCAGACAUAGGGUGGAGUCGAAGACGCUUGGGCCAAACUAGAGAAGGCCUGACUCUCGAGUCAGACCUUCUAAACAGGGGCAAGAGCUAGACUGGCUCUCAGGGUGGAGCUGGCAUACAGAAAUUUUGUUCUAUGUCCCAUACUCAUAAAUGCACAUGACUUUCUAUUAACUCACUUUUGGAAUGUUCUAGAUAAAAUACAGCUUAGCUUGCAGCACAGUGAAAGUUCUUUUGAAUUGGAAAUAGUUUCAAAAUAAAUUCAACUUUAUUAUUUUCAAAUACAUACACACUAGAGAGGUUCUGCAAGGAAUCCUAGGCUUAAAGAUAUUUUUUACUGGAGUAAAAGCUGGUGUCUCUAAAGAAUUUGAGAGUUUGAAAAUUUGUGUUCUUAAAUAUUUUUAAAUCUGCCCAAGAAAUUUAAUUUAGACUAAUGUGAUGACACUUUUCAUGAGAAAAGAUUUGCUGAGCAAAGUGAGUUUCGGCCCACGUAUUAUAGAAUAUCUCAAGCAUUGAGAUUUAUUAUCCUAGUAGCUCACAACUUAGUUGACAGAUCUUUUUGAGUGAGGUUUAUUGUUAGAAGUGUUUUCCUCCCUGAUGGAGAGUACAUUUAGUGGGGGAGGAAACUAUCAGUACAUUCGUUGUGGUUUUUGGUUGAUCAAGUUUGAAUGUGUUUUCAAAACAGGAAAUCCAGAGACUCUGUGAAGGAUUCCUGCCUGUGUGUCAGUUUCCUAGGCUGGUUUUUCAGCUUGAUGCAUAUACUUGAUAUUAAAAUUAUAUAAAUAAUUUCAGAAGUUCUCUUUACAUGUGAUAACCCUUCAUAUUAGGGAAAGAAAAGACUGGCUACUAAUAAACAUGUUGGGAAAGAUAAGUCAAGCAAGCAAGCAAAAAAAAAAGUUCAAGUCAAAGUAUGAUUAAGAAAGCAAAAAAAAAAUGUUCACUGCAGCCGGUCUCUCUAAGAGAAACAAUAUAUGGUAGAACCAAUGUUUUUGGCCACCUAAUAGGGAAACAUUUGCAAUAACUCUUAUAAAUACUUACUACCUUAUAUAGGGACCAAUCUUUUUUUUCUAUUAAAUCUCUUUGAAGUUGAACCUGAAUAAGCACUACCUACAGUACCACAGAAUCUUAAAUUGAUAAACUGAUACGCAUGCGUGCGUGCACACAUGCAGCAGUCUUUACGUGUAUAUAUAAAACCUUUUAAUACUGACAUUAUCUGGAAUGUCAGAGCAAGAGGAGGUAUCACAGCCUCAGGGAGUAUAGUCCAUUGAUUCUUUACAUCUACAAGUAGCAAACACUCUCGCUAGAUUAACUGGUUUCUAAAAUUGGAACACUGGUGUGACAAGUUCUAUGACAGCUGACAAGAACUCCUCCCCACCUUGGAGCCGAUUGCCGCAGCAGGAACCUCCAUCAUGGUGACAGAUGCAGACAUGCCUGGCUCCUAUAGAUCCAAUUUUUUUUUAAAUUGUCUCGAUAAUUGCUACCAAAGAAAACCAUGGCAGCUCUGGCUGUGGAAGACCUGUGGUUGCUUUUGACCUUGUAUCGCUUAGUGCAAAAACUCAUUUAAUAAAUAUUUAAUAAUAACCAUCAUGACUCACUGGGAGCUUGGCCUCUAGGGCUCAGGAGGUCUGUUGCUAAUUCCAACCAGCAUGAUUUACGGGAAGUAAAUGAUCUAUGACGUGCCCAAAGAGAAUAAAAGUACAUACAGGAUGCUUCUACUUAGGGUUUUUUUGGGAAGAGAAAGAAAUACACAAGUUAAAAAGGGACAACGUUUUCUCUUGACUUAAAGUCUACGUAACUUAAAGGGGGGAGGUCCUCCAAACCCCACGAAGUCAAACCGAUCCAAAUUACCGAGCCUUGCUGCGCAAUCCCAGUGUAACCACAUCAAGUGAGCCCAGUCUGCUGCAAAACAUCACUUAAACUGGAGCUCUGACUUAUUGUUC